CGUGAGUGGAAGUACAGCGACUCGGCGGCACCGGCGCGACUCUGACCGGAGGAUCCGUGAAGGUUUGUGCGAAUGCCCCUCGCGUGGACUGUCGGUAUUCACAUCGGUCCACGAGUUAAAAUGACGAAACAGUCAUUCAUCCCAGUGUGGAGAUCAAGAACUUGAAUGAUGCAGAACCUCAUGUGUUCUCUUUUUGCUGGUCUUGUUGAACAUUCAACGCUGUCGGUGAGUUUCUGACAUUAAAAACCCAUCGACCGUUGAUUGUGCCCUGAGGCCACGCCCACAUCUGCCAGACAGACCUGUUGUGGUCACGCCCACCUCUGUCUUUCCAUCUACAGUUAAAUCCGUCCCUUUAAAGGUCAUGAUCAACAUUCAUUGCUGUCGGUGGGUUUAGUUUCAUAACAGCUCUCUGAACAAUGAAUGUAACUACGGCCCAGAACAUCACGCUCCGCAGAGAUCCACUUCUUCCUUUCAUGCUCUUCUCAUCCUCGCGGAUCUGGAGUUCUUCAAGGUAGACGCAAAUAGAAGCAGCCGCGCUGACUGCUUCCUCCGGCAUCUAAUUGGUAGUUGUGCGUAUGAGCGUGUGUAUGUGUCGAGCGGAUAGAAGGAAACGGAGGAUGAAUGUGUAAUCAUUGAGAUGUUCUUCUCAUUUGGCUGUUUUGUUUGUUAAAUUAUAUACUGUGUUCAUUGCAGCUUAAAAUGGCACUUGAAUACAGGGUCCUUUCUCUCUCAGCUGUGUGUAUAUGGUGUCCUGGCACUAUUUUGUAGCCUUUUCGUGGUUGCGUGUGUAAUAUUCUGUGUGAACAUGUGUCUGUGCAGUCUGCAGCUCAGACAUCAGAAGAAGCUUCAGUCUUCAAGUCUCCAGAGACUGAAACACAACAACACAAUCUUUGUCUGAUGCUGAACUAUUUCUGUCUCUCUUUGACUACCUUUCAUUCUUCCAUGUUGUCAUCUGAAUCGAAUCUUCGAAUAAUAAAAACUUAGAUGCACUUCCACUGUGUCCUGA
Long non-coding RNA from Triplophysa dalaica, 1006 nucleotides. RefSeq lists it as uncharacterized. The record is from RefSeq and is a predicted model, not a curated record. Lineage: Eukaryota; Metazoa; Chordata; Actinopteri; Cypriniformes; Nemacheilidae. The transcript is spliced from 2 exons.